RNAcentral lists this long non-coding RNA (388 nucleotides) under Cricetulus griseus (Chinese hamster). RNAcentral's name for it is "lncRNA (ENSCGRG00015030959.1)". The record is from RNAcentral. Lineage: Eukaryota; Metazoa; Chordata; Mammalia; Rodentia; Cricetidae.
GAGGAGACCGGCAGGGAAGCUCCCAGACAGAGGCUCCAAGUUGGGAAAGAGCUUGAAAUGUGGGGAAAGAGAGGAGCUGCUGUGAGCUGAAACAACUACGAUGGGCGGGUCCUGGGUGCAGAAACAGUGACGAUGGGGACCUACCCACCCACCUACAGGCGAAGAGGACUCCUGCUUGCUUUCUCACAGAUCUGCAAAUGCAGGGAUGGAAACUGCAAGGAAGAAGGACCCCCAAUGCUGCAUCUCCAAUGUUCUUUGCCAUGCACCUCCAGGGGAAUGGGUUCUUGAUAUCAGCUGCACUUGAUAUCAGGCACUGAGGGCAGAGGCCUCUCCAUGACAGUUUGAGCCCCUGAGAAUGACAUAUCGGAGAUCAGAAGGCAAACUGGGA